Molecule: RNase P RNA, 444 nt
Filed under: Stagnimonas sp.
Lineage: Bacteria; Pseudomonadati; Pseudomonadota; Gammaproteobacteria; Nevskiales; Nevskiaceae
Description: RNase P RNA component class A
Rfam family: Bacterial RNase P class A
About the family: Ribonuclease P (RNase P) is a ubiquitous endoribonuclease, found in archaea, bacteria and eukarya as well as chloroplasts and mitochondria. Its best characterised activity is the generation of mature 5'-ends of tRNAs by cleaving the 5'-leader elements of precursor-tRNAs.
Source: RNAcentral
GGAGUCGGCCAGACAACCGCCGCUAUCACGUUGAUAGGGGAGGAAAGUCCGGGCUCCAAAGGGCAGUGUGCCAGUUAACGGCUGGGCGGCGUGAGCCGACAGAUAGCGCAACAGAAAGAUACCGCCGAUGGCCUUCGUGAUCGGGGUUCCCCGCAAAGUAGCUGUUCACUUUGUGGGGUGAUCGAGAGGGAUCAGGCAAGGGUGAAAUGGUGCGGUAAGAGCGCACCGCGAGCUUGGUAACAAGCCGGCACGGCAAACCUCACACGGAGCAAGACCAAAUAGGGCAGGAGUGCAUCGCAAGAUGCAUAACGCGCGGCCCGCGUGCCUGCCGGGUAGGUUGCUAAAGCGCCGUGGCGACACGGCGCGUAGAGGAAUGGUUGUCUCGGUCGUCGCUCGCAAGGGCGGCGGGUACGACAGAACCCGGCUUACAGGCCGACUCCCACU